This 497-nucleotide ribosomal RNA is filed under the name uncultured bacterium. RNAcentral's name for it is "partial 16S ribosomal RNA". It matches the Rfam family "Bacterial small subunit ribosomal RNA", at positions 28 to 507 of the family's 1533-position model. The record is from RNAcentral.
GAUGAACGCUGGCGGCGUGCCUAAUACAUGCAAGUCGAGCGAACGGACGAGAAGCUUGCUCCUCUGACGUUAGCGGCGGACGGGUGAGUAACACGUGGAUAACCUACCUAUAAGACUGGGAUAACUUCGGGAAACCGGAGCUAAUACCGGAUAAUAUUUUGAACCGCAUGGUUCAAUAGUGAAAGACGGUUUUGCUGUCACUUAUAGAUGGAUCCGCGCCGCAUUAGCUAGUUGGUAAGGUAACGGCUUACCAAGGCAACGAUGCGUAGCCGACCUGAGAGGGUGAUCGGCCACACUGGAACUGAGACACGGUCCAGACUCCUACGGGAGGCAGCAGUAGGGAAUCUUCCGCAAUGGGCGAAAGCCUGACGGAGCAACGCCGCGUGAGUGAUGAAGGUCUUCGGAUCGUAAAACUCUGUUAUUAGGGAAGAACAUAUGUGUAAGUAACUGUGCACGUCUUGACGGUACCUAAUCAGAAAGCCACGGCUAACUACGUG